CCCUCACUGUUAUUAAAGGGACUACGUUGAGUCCCGCUUUUAAUUUUGAUUGUUCGUUUGCAUAAACACACUAAGAUCAGCCUGGAUCACUUACGAUCCUUAUGUCUGCUUUGCUGGA
Molecule: long non-coding RNA, 118 nt
Organism: Phyllostomus discolor (pale spear-nosed bat)
Lineage: Eukaryota; Metazoa; Chordata; Mammalia; Chiroptera; Phyllostomidae
Exons: 3
Source: RefSeq, a predicted model, not a curated record